This 502-nucleotide ribosomal RNA is filed under the name uncultured bacterium. RNAcentral describes it as "partial 16S ribosomal RNA". It matches the Rfam family "Bacterial small subunit ribosomal RNA", at positions 28 to 523 of the family's 1533-position model. The record is from RNAcentral.
GAUAAACGCUGGCGGCGUGCCUAAUACAUGCAAGUCGAUCGCUGGAAACCUAGCUUGCUAGGUGGAAGGAGAGGCGAACGGGUGAGUAACACAUAAGCAACCUGCCUACAAAGACUGGGAUAAUCUCUGGAAACGGGGACUAAGACCGGAUAGGUAAUAGGGUCACAUGAUCUUAUUAUUAAAGGUUAGAAACACUAGUAGAUGGGCUUAUGGUGCAUUAGUUAGUUGGUAAGGUAACGGCCUACCAAGACGAUGAUGCAUAGCCGGGCUGAGGGGCUGAACGGCCACAUUGGGACUGAGACACGGCCCAGACUCCUACGGGAGGCAGCAGUAGGGAAUUUUCGGCAAUGGGGGCAACCCUGACCGAGCAACGCCGCGUGAGUGAUGAAAGUCUUCGGAUUGUAAAGCUCUGUUAUAAGGGAAGAAUGUCCUUGAUAGAAUCGAGGAGUGACGGUACCUUAUCAGAAAGCUACGGCUAACUACGUGCCAGCCGCCGCCGUAA